RNAcentral lists this unclassified non-coding RNA (293 nucleotides) under uncultured Fontanospora. RNAcentral's name for it is "sequence contains ITS1". The stretch from base 1 to 105 matches the Rfam family "5.8S ribosomal RNA", at positions 50 to 154 of the family's 154-position model. The record is from RNAcentral. Lineage: Eukaryota; Fungi; Ascomycota; Leotiomycetes; Helotiales; Helotiaceae.
GAAAUGCGAUAAGUAAUGUGAAUUGCAGAAUUCAGUGAAUCAUCGAAUCUUUGAACGCACAUUGCGCCCCGUGGUAUUCCGCGGGGCAUGCCUGUUCGAGCGUCAUUUCAACCCAUCAAGCUUCGGCUUGGAUUUGGGGCCUGCGGUCUCGCAGCCCUUAAACCCAGUGGCGGUGCUAUUGAGCUCUGAGCGUAGUAAUUCUUCUCGCUAUAGAGUCUCGGUGGUGGCUUGCCAACAACCCCCAAUUUUAUCAGGUUGACCUCGGAUCAGGUAGGGAUACCCGCUGAACUUAA